UGAAAAUUUUUCUACGCCUAACUUAUGUAGCUAUACAUAUAUAUAUAUAUACUAGAUUUUCACCCGCGGUACACCGAGGAAACAAUUUAUAUUUUUAAGUUAGUAUAUAUAAAAGUUUACAAAUUAUAUCUAUCUAUAAAAUAUUUUUAUUUUAUAGUUUACAAAUGUUAUUAAGUAACGUCCUGCCAAAUCCGUCCCGUAAAAAAAACCCACUUAUUUUAUUAAUGUUGAUCUUAUUAUGAUAUGUUUAUGAAUCAUUGUUUAAAUAUUUUGUAAUUUUGUAGUAAUUAAAUCCUAUCAAAUUAUAUCUUUACGCUUUUGAUGAUUAUAAUCGAAUUGUUAUAGUCAUGGAGAAAAGCAAUAUCAAAAAUGAUAAUUUGUAGUAAUUAAAUGAUAUUAAAUAUUUUGGAAGUUUUAUUUUAC
This 423-nucleotide small RNA is filed under the name Arabidopsis thaliana (thale cress). RNAcentral's name for it is "ATSL021990". The record is from RNAcentral. Lineage: Eukaryota; Viridiplantae; Streptophyta; Magnoliopsida; Brassicales; Brassicaceae.